Molecule: long non-coding RNA, 1052 nt
Organism: Cyprinus carpio carpio
Lineage: Eukaryota; Metazoa; Chordata; Actinopteri; Cypriniformes; Cyprinidae
Source: Ensembl
CCUUCACCCAUUGUUUCUUCUCCUCUGCUGUGGCAAAAGCUUGCAUGCUGUAAGAGAAUCAGAAGUGAGUGUGAAUAAGUCAUUGUUAGGUGUUACACAGGUAAAAGAAGGCUCUGUUCUCAUAGCUGCGUCCUUUGCUGCAGUAUCAGCAUGAUUGUUACCUAAAAACACAAAAUCAUCACAGUUUUUGGAAUGUGUGACGCAUUUGCAGAUAGCAAUUGACUUUGGUAACAAAAUUGCUUCAAACAAUGCUGCUAUUUUAUCAUGGUUUAGAACAGUCUUACCAUCAGACUUUAGAAAUUUCCUGUGUUUCCACAAUGCCACAAAAUCAUGACAAACCCCAAAAUAGUAACGAGAAUCUGUGUAAUGUUAACUGUUUGCCCUUUAGCAAUUUUGCAAGCCUCCGUCAAUGCUACUAAUUCAGCCGCUUGCGCAGAGCAAUGCGCGGGGAGCGCUCCAGAUGUUAUUGUUGCAUAUGCAGUUGUUACAGCUUAAUUUGUUCUGUUUUUGCCAAUAUUUGGGUCUCUAGAUGCUUAACCAUCAAUGAUUAGAAUUAAGUCAGCAUUUUCUAAGGGGGUUUCUUUUAAAUCUGAUCUUGGUGUACAGACCUGUUCAAAUGUGGCAACACAGUUGUGUUGUUUCCCCAUCCUGCUUCGUAGGGAGCAGUGUAGCAGGAUUUAACACUGUGCAUCUUUUAAUCGUGAUGUUUGGCAUUUCAAAUAGAAUUGCAUUGUACCUGAGCCAUCUGUCGGUUGACAAAUGGGAUGUUUUCUGUUCCAACAGGAUCACAGAGACCGUGCGUGGCACGAGCAAAGUCACAUCAGAGUACCCCACAAUUUCCAUUUAAGAUAAAAUAGCUUUUUCUGCAGAUGCAACAGCUCUCAGGCAUUUUGGCAUGCCUGCCGCUACCGGAUCGAGCUUACUCGAAAAAUAGGCCACAGGUCUCCCCCAUGAUCCUGUAACAGAACAGAAGUCAUGAACCCAUUCUCUCAUCAACAGUUUGUACAAAAUUUCUCUCUGGGUCUGGGAGUCCCAGUGUUAGUGAUGUUUUU